GCCCACAGUUAGGAUUUAUACAGAGGAGUACUCCAGAUGGGAAACUUGAAGCAUACUGCUUAAGCCAUUUCAUUCUAGCCGGACCAGACGAUUGCCAUUGGGAUGUAGCGUAUGGGAUAAGCCCCCUGGUACAUAGUUGUGUGUUUUUAGUUGUAGGUCCUUCUAGUUGUGGCAUGUGGGAUGCUGCCUCGGCAUGGCUUGAUGAGCGGUGCCAUGUCCGCGUCCAGGAUCCGAAACAGCGAAACCCUGGGCUGCUGAAGUGAAGCGCGUUAACUUAACCACUUGGCCACGGGGCCGGCCCCAAAACCAGCACUCUUAACUCAACUUCUUUGCCUCUAAUUUGUUUCAAGCCAGCCAGUUUUUCCCAGUGCAAAGAGAAAAAGAAAGAUGUCUUAGGCUUUGCCUAAGGCAAACUAAAGCUCCAAGAAAGAGCAACAUCUAGGAAGAAAGUAAUGAGCUGAAGUCUGGGAAGUUGGAGAGAUGAGACAAGAAAGGAGCUGGAGACAAAAUGAUUCGGAAACUGAAUGAUUCAAAGGCAAGGAAAAG
This 546-nucleotide long non-coding RNA is filed under the name Equus asinus (donkey). RNAcentral describes it as "lncRNA (ENSEASG00005036157.1)". Lineage: Eukaryota; Metazoa; Chordata; Mammalia; Perissodactyla; Equidae. The record is from RNAcentral.